GACUCUGUAGCUCAGUGGAUUAGAGCGCUUCCCUGCGGAGGAAGAGGUCGGGCGUUCGAAUCGCCCCAGAGUCGCCA
Molecule: transfer RNA, 77 nt
Filed under: Chloroflexota bacterium
Lineage: Bacteria; Bacillati; Chloroflexota
Also listed under: 1 other name
Description: Chloroflexi bacterium (hot springs metagenome) tRNA-Arg
Rfam family: tRNA
About the family: Transfer RNA (tRNA) molecules are approximately 80 nucleotides in length. Their secondary structure includes four short double-helical elements and three loops (D, anti-codon, and T loops). Further hydrogen bonds mediate the characteristic L-shaped molecular structure. tRNAs have two regions of fundamental functional importance: the anti-codon, which is responsible for specific mRNA codon recognition, and the 3' end, to which the tRNAs corresponding amino acid is attached (by aminoacyl-tRNA synthetases). tRNAs cope with the degeneracy of the genetic code in two manners: having more than one tRNA (with a specific anti-codon) for a particular amino acid; and 'wobble' base-pairing, i.e. permitting non-standard base-pairing at the 3rd anti-codon position.
Source: RNAcentral